This 497-nucleotide ribosomal RNA is filed under the name uncultured bacterium. RNAcentral's name for it is "partial 16S ribosomal RNA". It matches the Rfam family "Bacterial small subunit ribosomal RNA", at positions 28 to 507 of the family's 1533-position model. The record is from RNAcentral.
GAUGAACGCUGGCGGCGUGCCUAAUACAUGCAAGUCGAGCGAACAGACGAGGAGCUUGCUCCUUUGACGUUAGCGGCGGACGGGUGAGUAACACGUGGGUAACCUACCUAUAAGACUGGGAUAACUUCGGGAAACCGGAGCUAAUACCGGAUAAUAAUUCUAACCGCAUGGUUCGAUAGUGAAAGAUGGCUUUGCUAUCACUUAUAGAUGGACCUGCGCCGUAUUAGCUAGUUGGUAAGGUAACGGCUUACCAAGGCAACGAUACGUAGCCGACCUGGGAGGGUGAUCGGCCACACUGGAACUGAGACACGGUCCAGACUCCUACGGGAGGCAGCAGUAGGGAAUCUUCCGCAAUGGGCGAAAGCCUGACGGAGCAACGCCGCGUGAGUGAUGAAGGUCUUCGGAUCGUAAAACUCUGUUAUUAGGGAGGAACAAACGUGUAAGUAACUGUGCACGUCUUGACGGUACCUAAUCAGAAAGCCACGGCUAACUACGUG